UACGGAGGGGGCAAGCGUUGUCCGGAAUUACUGGGCGUAAAGAGCUCGUAGGUGGUUUGUCGCGUUGUUCGUGAAAACUCACAGCUCAACUGUGGGCGUGCGGGCGAUACGGGCAGACUAGAGUACUGCAGGGGAGACUGGAAUUCCUGGUGUAGCGGUGGAAUGCGCAGAUAUCAGGAGGAACACCGGUGGCGAAGGCGGGUCUCUGGGCAGUAACUGACGCUGAGGAGCGAAAGCGUGGGGAGCGAACAGG
Molecule: ribosomal RNA, 253 nt
Filed under: uncultured bacterium
Lineage: Bacteria
Description: partial 16S ribosomal RNA
Rfam family: Bacterial small subunit ribosomal RNA
Source: RNAcentral